GACGAACGCUGGCGGCGUGGAUUAGGCAUGCAAGUCGAACGGUAUCAUCCUUUCGGGGGUGAGAGAGUGGCGAACUGGUGAGUAACACGUAGGUUAUCUACCCUCAAGACGGGGACAACCCAGGGAAACUUGGGCUAAUACCGGAUGUGAGCAACUUUUAGUUGUUUGAAAGGUGGCGUAAGCUGUCGCUUGGGGAUGAGCCUGCGUCCUAUUAGUUAGUUGGUGAGGUAACGGCUCACCUAGGCAAUGAUAGGUAGGCGGCCUUAACGGGUGGUCGCCCACACUGGGAUUGAGAUACGGCCCAGACUCCUACGGGAGGCAGCAGUCGAGAAUAGUCUACAAUGGUCGGAAGACUGAUAGUGCGACGCCGCGUGAACGAUGAAUCCCUUCGGGGUGUAAAGUUCUUUUAUAUGUGAGCAGUGCUUCUUAUAUUAACAGUAUGGGGAAGAGAUAUUAGCAUAUGAAUAAGCAAACGGCUAAACUCCGUGCCAGCAGCCGCGGUAA
Molecule: ribosomal RNA, 504 nt
Filed under: uncultured bacterium
Lineage: Bacteria
Description: bacterial SSU rRNA
Rfam family: Bacterial small subunit ribosomal RNA
Source: RNAcentral